ACCUUCGGGUCUAGUGGCGCACGGGUGCGUAACGCGUGGGAAUCUGCCCCUUGGUUCGGAAUAACACAGAGAAAUUUGUGCUAAUACCGGAUGACGACGAAAGUCCAAAGAUUUAUCGCCGAGGGAUGAGCCCGCGUAAGAUUAGGUAGUUGGUGGGGUAAAGGCCUACCAAGCCGACGAUCUUUAGCUGGUCUGAGAGGAUGAUCAGCCACACUGGGACUGAGACACGGCCCAGACUCCUACGGGAGGCAGCAGUGGGGAAUAUUGGACAAUGGGCGAAAGCCUGAUCCAGCAAUGCCGCGUGAGUGAUGAAGGCCCUCGGGUCGUAAAGCUCUUUUACCAGGGAUGAUAAUGACAGUACCUGGAGAAUAAGCUCCGGCUAACUCCGUGCCAGCAGCCGCGGUAAUACGGAGGGAGCUAGCGUUGUUCGGAAUUACUGGGCGUAAAGCGCACGUAGGCGGCUACUCAAGUCAGAGGUGAAAGCCCGGGGCUCAACCCCGGAACUGCCUUUGAAACUAGGUAGCUAGAAUCUUGGAGAGGUCAGUGGAAUUCCGAGUGUAGAGGUGAAAUUCGUAGAUAUUCGGAAGAACACCAGUGGCGAAGGCGACUGACUGGACAAGUAUUGACGCUGAGGUGCGAAAGCG
This 644-nucleotide ribosomal RNA is filed under the name uncultured bacterium. RNAcentral's name for it is "bacterial SSU rRNA". It matches the Rfam family "Bacterial small subunit ribosomal RNA", at positions 82 to 761 of the family's 1533-position model. The record is from RNAcentral.